Non-coding RNA from Meloidogyne hapla, 137 nucleotides. NCBI's taxonomy places the organism in Eukaryota, Metazoa, Nematoda, Chromadorea, Rhabditida, Meloidogynidae. The record is from Rfam.
AGCCUUGCGCUCGGGCAGUACAGCGUCCAAUGAGGCCUAGCCGAGGAGCUGUUAUUGCUGAUUGAAAACUUAUACCAAUUGCCCGCCUUGGCCUGCGAAAGCAGUGCUUUGUGCAAUUUUUGGACGCCCGAAAGGGC